AACAACCGCCCAAAAAAAAAAAUUAUAUAUGGCCCUUUUAGCCAUAUCCAUAUGAUCUUCACCUUCCUCUCUAGAUCAUCCAUAAACCACAUCUACUAUUUUCAAAAAGAUCCUCCAGGUGUCCCAAAAUCAAUCUUUGGCUGUGCCCACAUACCCACCGGGAUAUCCCCAAACCUCGUAUCAUUAUAUCUCUCUGUUCCUAACAAUGUUCUAUGCCCGGGAGUAACCACCUCGUCGACCUCCCUCCAUCUCCUUCUCUCUGCUGUAACGCCCGCAGACAUCCCAGUGCCUGUACUUGGCCCCGCCUCUCUAUCCUCUGCUGCAGGAUCUCCCGUCACAUCAGGCAGGGUAUCCGUCUGUAGUGGGUUAUCGGCGUAAUCAAUAGAGUCAAGAGACGCGCUUUCUAGACCAAACAUUGCGAUACGCAUAUAGUCUGCCGAAGCGGACCGGACCUGCGGAGCAGCUUCGGUAGGAAUGAUCGUACUGGGUAGAGGGGAAGCGUGGCGGGACGAAGAUGCAGAAACGGACCGACCAUAGGAAGAGCGAUACAUUGCAGAGGCAGAUCGAGGACGGGGAGGUGGAGAUUGGGUGAAUGCCCGGCUAAGGACUGCAGGUCGUUCAGAUCCAGCGCGAGAGCCGCGGGAGAUGAGAGCAGGGGGGGCAAGAAGGGAGUGCUGGCCAAGAAGAGAAGGUGUAGUAGAUUGAUUGGGCUGUGAGAUGGACCUUCGUACCAAUUUUGGCGAGCCUGAGCUAGGUGAUCCGGUCACGCCUACCCCGAGCCCUGGAUGGGGCUUGACGACUGGAAAGCGGAGCUGACCAGCAGAAGACAUGCGCUGCGCAGGCGGUGAAGGAGCCAGUUCUUCGCCUUCAUCAAUCCUCUCAAGCUCUGUCACCGCUGACAGAGAGAUGCCUUCCCCUGUUCUGCCGGGAGCCUGUCCUGAUGUUGAAGCUAACGUUGAUCUUUCGACUUGAAUGUCCUCAUCAGAACGAUCGGGUGUCGAUCCAUGCAAGUUAAGUAAUGUUCUUCCUGGUGUCAACCUUGAACCCAGCGCCUCUCCCUCUAAUGACGGACUCAUGCUCAUUAUAGGCGGCUCUGGCGUGGUAGCGAACUCGGGCGUUCGUUCAAUAACGAAUGGUGUUCUAAGCGGUGUACCUGUACGCGAACCGAGUUCUGGUGCACGCCAUUCUGAAGGAAGUCGCGGUGUUUGGGAGUUAUCGGGAAUAAUUCCCUGACGGGAAGGGGAUGGCGUCCGAGGUAAGACGCUGACAUGUCGCGAUGCAGAUGUAGAAGAUGGACCAGCAGCUGCAGGAGGGGCAAAGAAGUCUGGAGGAAAAAAUGAAGAAGCUUUGCGAGGUGAAGUUACAGAGGCGGAUGUUGAUGGUUCCCCUCGUCCGUUGUGUCGCACUCUCUUAACUUCAGCGUCUCCACUUUCCGAACGAUGUUCGGAAGGUAAGCGACGCUUGCCCAAGCUGGAGAAAGGGAGAGAUACGGAUCGAUGGUGAGACUGAGAUAUGCCAGCUGCACCAGGUAUGCGUGGACCACUAGAAGGACCAGGAAGUUGAGGAAACGGUCGUGGUGUGCGAAUCUGUGGAUUGUCAACUUGGAUAGACAAAGCCUCGAUGCCGAAUAACGUACUCUUUCCGCCCGUUCCAAUUCUUCGCAUUUUAAUCGAACUUCUCUAACUUCUUUUCUUAACCGUUCAAGCUCAUCACCUAACAGCUUCUCAACAUUCUCAAGCCGGGUAUGCCACUUCGUGUCAUUUUCAGAUAUUAUCGCUUGUACUUCUGCAAUGCUUAUUGUGGGGGUUUGCGGUAUUUGCUGUUGUGGCUGAGGUGUUAACGACGAUUGUGGAGUUGGUAUCGGUGGUCGACAGGGGAGCGGUGAUAAUUCUAUGGAUUAUGGAGUUGUUAGUAAUGACAUGAGAUCCUGG
This 1931-nucleotide small RNA is filed under the name Cryptococcus neoformans H99. Its description in RNAcentral is "Cryptococcus neoformans var. grubii H99 hypothetical RNA". The record is from RNAcentral. Lineage: Eukaryota; Fungi; Basidiomycota; Tremellomycetes; Tremellales; Cryptococcaceae.